GGCUCCUUAGUUCAUUUGGUAGAAUAUGGGCUUUGUAACCCCAAGAGAACGGAUCGUAACCGUUAGGAGCCU
This 72-nucleotide transfer RNA is filed under the name Caudoviricetes sp. Its description in RNAcentral is "tRNA-Thr". It matches the Rfam family "tRNA". Rfam says of the family: Transfer RNA (tRNA) molecules are approximately 80 nucleotides in length. The record is from RNAcentral. Lineage: Duplodnaviria; Heunggongvirae; Uroviricota; Caudoviricetes.